AGAGUUUGAUCCUGGCUCAGAUUGAACGCUGCGGCAGGCUAACACAUGCAAGUCGAGCGGAAACGAGUUAACUGAACUUCGGGGAACGUUAACGGCGUCGAGCGGCGGACGGGUGAGUAAUGCCUGGGAAAUUGCCUGAUGUGGGGGAUAACCAUUGGAAACGAUGGCUAAUACCGCAUGAUAGCUUCGGCUCAAAGAGGGGGACUUUCGGGCCUCUCGCGUCAGGAUAUGCCCAGGUGGGAUUAGCUAGUUGGUGAGGUAAUGGCUCACCAAGGCGACGAUCCCUAGCUGGUCUGAGAGGAUGAUCAGCCACACUGGAACUGAGACACGGUCCAGACUCCUACGGGAGGCAGCAGUGGGGAAUAUUGCACAAUGGGCGCAAGCCUGAUGCAGCCAUGCCGCGUGUAUGAAGAAGGCCUUCGGGUUGUAAAGUACUUUCAGCAGUGAGGAAGGUGGGUAUGUUAAUAGCAUACUCAUUUGACUUUAGCUGCAGAAGAAGCACCGGCUAACUCCGUGCCAGCAGCCGCGGUAAUACGGAGGGUGCGAGCGUUAAUCGGAAUUACUGGGCGUAAAGCGCAUGCAGGUGGUUUGUUAAGUCAGAUGUGAAAGCCCGGGGCUCAACCUCGGAAUUGCAUUUGAAACUGGCAAACUAGAGUACUGUAGAGGGGGGUAGAAUUUCAGGUGUAGCGGUGAAAUGCGUAGAGAUCUGAAGGAAUACCGGUGGCGAAGGCGGCCCCCUGGACAGAUACUGACACUCAGAUGCGAAAGCGUGGGGAGCAAACAGGAUUAGAUACCCUGGUAGUCCACGCCGUAAACGAUGUCUACUUGGAGGUUGUGGCCUUGAGCCGUGGCUUUCGGAGCUAACGCGUUAAGUAGACCGCCUGGGGAGUACGGUCGCAAGAUUAAAACUCAAAGGAAUUGACGG
Molecule: ribosomal RNA, 925 nt
Filed under: uncultured marine bacterium
Lineage: Bacteria
Description: bacterial SSU rRNA
Rfam family: Bacterial small subunit ribosomal RNA
Source: RNAcentral